GCAAAGCUGCCAGUUGCAUGUGACGAGUGACGACACGUCUGGACAAAUUGAUCUUUUGAAAUCCGGGGUUCGGCUCGUGGUUUCUGAGCAAGCCCAUUUUUUGAGAAAUGAAACGCCUCUUUUGAGAAAAGAAACCGGCUUUUGAGAAAGGAAACUCCUCUUUUGAGAAAAGAAUCAGGCGUUUGAGAAAGGAGCCCCGACUCUUCGAUUUGCGAGAGGACGCUUCUCUGAGGAGCGCCUCUCCGAUUUCUUCUUUUUAUAGAGGCGCUAAUUGUG
Molecule: long non-coding RNA, 276 nt
Filed under: Malus domestica (apple)
Lineage: Eukaryota; Viridiplantae; Streptophyta; Magnoliopsida; Rosales; Rosaceae
Description: long non-coding RNA (MDOM_LNC009346)
Source: RNAcentral